AUAGAGUUUGAUUCUGUCUCAAUAAUUAUCUUAUUUUUUAAUUUAUAUGGGAGUUUUUAAAUUUUGGUUUAUCCAGUAUUUAAUAUUAAUUUUUUAGUUUAUCAACUGAGUUAGUAAAUUAAUUUAUAAUAGAUUAAAUUUGUGCCAGCAUUCGCGGUUAUACAAUUUAUUAAAGUUAAUUUUUUUGAAUUUAAUUUUAAAUAUUUUAUAUAGGGUUAAGUUACUUAAUAUUUAGGUGGAAUUUAUAUUGAUUUUAUAUCUCUUUAUUUAUUCUUAGAAAAUUUUAAUGGUAAACUAGGAUUAGAUACCCUAUUAUUUAUUACUUAGUUUUUAAUUUUGAAUAGUAUUAGCUAUGUUCUUUAAAGCUCAAAGAAUUUGGCGGUAAAAUAUCUUCUUAGAGGAACCUGUAGAUUAAUCGAUAAACCACGAUAUAAUCUACUUUUAUUAAAAAGUUUGUAUACCGCUAUAUUAAGGAAUGUUCUUAUAGGAUUAUUUUCUUUUUCCCUGUGGGUUUAUGUUAGGUCAAGGUGCAGUUUUAUAAAAGUUUCUAUGGGUUACUUUAAUUAAAAUUUUUAGGAUCAUAUUUAGUUGUUUAAGUUAUGUUAAUAAGGAUUUAAUAGUAAAAUGGAUUAAUUAAUCUGUUUGAAUUUUGUUCUAUUUUAUGUACAUAUCGCCCGUCACUCCUAAUUUAAGUUAGGAUAAGUCGUAACAAAGUAAUUUUACCGGAAGGUGAGGUUAGAUGAUUAUUUAU
Molecule: non-coding RNA, 751 nt
Filed under: Exitianus indicus
Lineage: Eukaryota; Metazoa; Arthropoda; Insecta; Hemiptera; Cicadellidae
Source: RNAcentral